UGACAAUGGUGUUCGGAACAGGUGGCUUCA
Molecule: non-coding RNA, 30 nt
Filed under: Homo sapiens (human)
Lineage: Eukaryota; Metazoa; Chordata; Mammalia; Primates; Hominidae
Source: RNAcentral